This 370-nucleotide ribosomal RNA is filed under the name uncultured organism. Its description in RNAcentral is "bacterial SSU rRNA". It matches the Rfam family "Bacterial small subunit ribosomal RNA", at positions 526 to 896 of the family's 1533-position model. The record is from RNAcentral.
CGUAGGGUGCGAGCGUUAAUCGGAAUUACUGGGCGUAAAGCGUGCGCAGGCGGUUUUGUAAGACAGAUGUGAAAUCCCCGGGCUCAACCUGGGACCUGCAUUUGUGACUGCAAGGCUAGAGUACGGUAGAGGGGGAUGGAAUUCCGCGUGUAGCAGUGAAGUGCGUAGAUAUGCGGAGGAACACCGAUGGCGAAGGCAAUCCCCUGGACCUGUACUGACGCUCAUGCACGAAAGCGUGGGGAGCAAACAGGAUUAGAUACCCUGGUAGUCCACGCCCUAAACGAUGUCAACUGGUUGUUGGGUCUUUACUGACUCAGUAACGAAGCUAACGCGUGAAGUUGACCGCCUGGGGAGUACGGCCGCAAGGUUG